This 527-nucleotide ribosomal RNA is filed under the name uncultured bacterium. RNAcentral describes it as "partial 16S ribosomal RNA". It matches the Rfam family "Bacterial small subunit ribosomal RNA", at positions 355 to 905 of the family's 1533-position model. The record is from RNAcentral.
UGGGGAAUUGUCGAUGCAAGGGCACNUCAGCCAACUGCCGCGUGAGUGAUGAAGGCCUUCGGGUUGUAAAGCUCUUUUGGCGGGGACGAUGAUGACGGUACCCGCAGAAUAAGCCCCGGCUAACUUCGUGCCAGCAGCCGCGGUAAGACGAAGGGGGCUAGCGUUGUUCGGAAUUACUGGGCGUAAAGCGAGUGUAGGCGGUUGCCGUAGUCAGGUGUGAAAGCCUUGAGCUCAACUCAAGAAAUGCACUUGAUACUGGGUGACUAGAGGACCGGAGAGGAUAGUGGAAUUCCCAGUGUAGUGGUGAAAUACGUAGAGAUUGGGAAGAACACCAGUGGCGAAGGCGGCUAUCUGGACGGUUACUGACGCUAAGACUCGAAAGCGUGGGGAGCAAACAGGAUUAGAUACCCUGGUAGUCCACGCCGUAAACGAUGGGUGCUAGACGUUGGCGAGCUUGCUCGUCAGUGUCGCAGCUAACGCGUUAAGCACCCCGCCUGGGGAGUACGGCCGCAAGGUUGAAACUCAAA